Molecule: ribosomal RNA, 460 nt
Filed under: uncultured bacterium
Lineage: Bacteria
Description: partial 16S ribosomal RNA
Rfam family: Bacterial small subunit ribosomal RNA
Source: RNAcentral
CCUACGGGAGGCAGCAGUGAGGAAUAUUGGUCAAUGGACGAGAGUCUGAACCAGCCAAGUAGCGUGAAGGAUGACUGCCCUAUGGGUUGUAAACUUCUUUUAUAUGGGAAUAAAAUGAUCCACGUGUGGGAUUUUGUAUGUACCAUAUGAAUAAGGAUCGGCUAACUCCGUGCCAGCAGCCGCGGUAAUACGGAGGAUCCGAGCGUUAUCCGGAUUUAUUGGGUUUAAAGGGAGCGUAGGUGGAUUGUUAAGUCAGUUGUGAAAGUUUGCGGCUCAACCGUAAAAUUGCAGUUGAGACUGGCAGUCUUGAGUACAGUAGAGGUGGGCGGAAUUCGUGGUGUAGCGGUGAAAUGCUUAGAUAUCACGAAGAACUCCGAUUGCGAAGGCAGUUCACUGAACUGCAACUGACACUGAGGCUCGAAAGUGUGGGUAUCAAACAGGAUUAGAUACCCCGGUAGUC